CCGAGGAGUGUAAUUUAUACGCGAGUCAAGGGGUGGUGAAAACCCUAGGGGCGGAAUGAAAGUAAAGGCCGGUUAACCGGUUGACAUGGGAUCCGCUCUUCGGAGCGGCGCACCAUGGCCCUGUCUUGUCUGCUUGCAGAUGGGCAGCGGUAGAGCGUUUAGUUUGCGACCCGAAAGAUGGUGAACUAUGCUUGAGCAGGACGAGCCAGAGGAAACUCUGGUGGAAGUCCGUAUCGGUUCUGACGUGCAAAUCGAUCGAUAGACUUGGGUAUAGGGGCGAAAGACUAAUCGAAC
RNAcentral lists this ribosomal RNA (294 nucleotides) under Heterorhabditis bacteriophora. Its description in RNAcentral is "partial 26S rRNA". It matches the Rfam family "Eukaryotic large subunit ribosomal RNA", at positions 666 to 940 of the family's 3401-position model. The record is from RNAcentral. Lineage: Eukaryota; Metazoa; Nematoda; Chromadorea; Rhabditida; Heterorhabditidae.